CGAUACUUUUACGACGUAGCAUGAUGUAGCGGCUGCCUGUUCGCCCUUGGAUCCUGACUUUGAUUCUGGCUCAGGACGAACGCUGGCGGCGUGCUUAACACAUGCAAGUCGAACGAGAAUCUGUGGAUCGAGGAUUCGUCCAAGUGAAGCAGAGGACAGUGGCGGACGGGUGAGUAACGCGUGAGGAACCUGCCUUUCAGAGGGGGACAACAGUUGGAAACGACUGCUAAUACCGCAUGAUACAUUUGGGUGGCAUCAUCUGAAUGUCAAAGAUUUAUCGCUGAAAGAUGGCCUCGCGUCUGAUUAGCUAGUUGGUGGGGUAACGGCCCACCAAGGGCGACGAUCAGUAGCCGGACUGAGAGGUUGACCGGCCACAUUGGGACUGAGAUACGGCCCAGACUCCUACGGGAGGCAGCAGUGGGGAAUAUUGGGCAAUGGGCGCAAGCCUGACCCAGCAACGCCGCGUGAAGGAAGAAGGCUUUCGGGUUGUAAACUUCUUUUAAGAGGGAAGAGCAGAAGACUGUACCUCUAGAAUAAGCCACGGCUAACUACGUGCCAGCAGCCGCGGUAAUACGUAGGUGGCAAGCGUUGUCCGGAUUUACUGGGUGUAAAGGGCGUGCAGCCCGGGAAUGCAAGUCAGAUGUGAAAUCCAUGGGCUUAACCCAUGAACUGCAUUUGAAACUGUAUUUCUUGAGUACUGGAGAGGCAAUCGGAAUUUCCUAGUGUAGCGGUGAAAUGCGUAGAUAUUAGGAGGAACACCAGUGGCGAAGGCGGAUUGCUGGACAGCAACUGACGGUGUGGCGCGAAAGUGUGGGGAGCAAACAGGAUUAGAUACCCUGGUAGUCCACACUGUAAACGAUGAAUACUAGGUGUGCGGGGACUGACCCCCUGCGUGCCGC
This 899-nucleotide ribosomal RNA is filed under the name uncultured bacterium. RNAcentral describes it as "bacterial SSU rRNA". It matches the Rfam family "Bacterial small subunit ribosomal RNA", at positions 1 to 849 of the family's 1533-position model. The record is from RNAcentral.